Molecule: transfer RNA, 73 nt
Filed under: Flavobacteriaceae bacterium
Lineage: Bacteria; Pseudomonadati; Bacteroidota; Flavobacteriia; Flavobacteriales; Flavobacteriaceae
Description: tRNA-Glu(ttc)
Rfam family: tRNA
About the family: Transfer RNA (tRNA) molecules are approximately 80 nucleotides in length. Their secondary structure includes four short double-helical elements and three loops (D, anti-codon, and T loops).
Source: RNAcentral
GGCCCGUUCGUCUAUCGGUUAGGACGUUAGGUUUUCAUCCUAGAAAGAGGUGUUCGAUUCCCCUACGGGCUAC